CCUACGGGAGGCACCAGUGGGGAAUAUUGCACAAUGGGCGCAAGCCUGAUGCAGCCAUGCCGCGUGUAUGAAGAAGGCCUUCGGGUUGUAAAGUACUUUCAGCGAGGAGGAAGGCAUUAAGGUUAAUAACCUUAGUGAUUGACGUUACUCGCAGAAGAAGCACCGGCUAACCCCGUGCCAGCAGCCGCGGUAAUACGGAGGGUGCAAGCGUUAAUCGGAAUUACUGGGCGUAAAGCGCACGCAGGCGGUCUGUCAAGCCGGAUGUGAAAUCCCCGGGCCCAACCUGGGAACUGCAUUCGAAACUGGCAGGCUAGAGUCUUGUAGAGGGGGGUAGAAUUCCAGGUGUAGCGGUGAAAUGCGUAGAGAUCUGGAGGAAUACCGGUGGCGAAGGCGGCCCCCUGGACAAAGGCUGACGCUCAGGUGCGAAAGCGUGGGGAGCAAACAGGAUUAGAUACCCGCGUAGUC
This 465-nucleotide ribosomal RNA is filed under the name uncultured bacterium. Its description in RNAcentral is "bacterial SSU rRNA". It matches the Rfam family "Bacterial small subunit ribosomal RNA", at positions 338 to 795 of the family's 1533-position model. The record is from RNAcentral.